This 498-nucleotide ribosomal RNA is filed under the name uncultured bacterium. Its description in RNAcentral is "partial 16S ribosomal RNA". It matches the Rfam family "Bacterial small subunit ribosomal RNA", at positions 28 to 508 of the family's 1533-position model. The record is from RNAcentral.
GAUGAACGCUGGCGGCGUGCCUAAUACAUGCAAGUCGAGCGAACAGAUAAGGAGCUUGCUCCUUUGACGUUAGCGGCGGACGGGUGAGUAACACGUGGGUAACCUACCUAUAAGACUGGGAUAACUUCGGGAAACCGGAGCUAAUACCGGAUAACAUUUGGAACCGCAUGGUUCUAAAGUGAAAGAUGGUUUUGCUAUCACUUAUAGAUGGACCCGCGCCGUAUUAGCUAGUUGGUAAGGUAACGGCUUACCAAGGCAACGAUACGUAGCCGACCUGAGAGGGUGAUCGGCCACACUGGAACUGAGACACGGUCCAGACUCCUACGGGAGGCAGCAGUAGGGAAUCUUCCGCAAUGGGCGAAAGCCUGACGGAGCAACGCCGCGUGAGUGAUGAAGGGUUUCGGCUCGUAAAACUCUGUUAUUAGGGAAGAACAAAUGUGUAAGUAACUGUGCACGUCUUGACGGUACCUAAUCAGAAAGCCACGGCUAACUACGUGC